CCGUGCCCAAGAGAUCGGGAUAACACCUGGAAACAGAUGCUAAUACCGGAUAACAACAGAUGAUGCCUAUCAACUGUUUAAAAGAUGGUUCUGCUAUCACUCUUGGAUGGACCUGCGGUGCAUUAGCUAGUUGGUAGGGUAACGGCCUACCAAGGCGAUGAUGCAUAGCCGAGUUGAGAGACUGAUCGGCCACAUUGGGACUGAGACACGGCCCAAACUCCUACGGGAGGCAGCAGA
Molecule: ribosomal RNA, 237 nt
Filed under: uncultured Lactobacillus sp.
Lineage: Bacteria; Bacillati; Bacillota; Bacilli; Lactobacillales; Lactobacillaceae
Description: partial 16S ribosomal RNA
Rfam family: Bacterial small subunit ribosomal RNA
Source: RNAcentral